Molecule: ribosomal RNA, 520 nt
Filed under: uncultured Glomus
Lineage: Eukaryota; Fungi; Glomeromycota; Glomeromycetes; Glomerales; Glomeraceae
Description: SSU rRNA
Rfam family: Eukaryotic small subunit ribosomal RNA
Source: RNAcentral
AGCAGCCGCGGUAAUUCCAGCUCCAAUAGCGUAUAUUAAAGUUGUUGCAGUUAAAAAGCUCGUAGUUGAAUUUCGGGACCAAUAUGUCGGUCGUGCUUCGGUACGUACUUGCAUUAUUGGUUUCUCCCUUCUGAAGAACCUUGAUGUCAUUAAUUUGGUGUCUUGGGGAAUCAGGACUGUUACUUUGAAAAAAUUAGGGUGUUUAAAGCAGGCUCACGCUUGAAUACAUUAGCAUGGAAUAAUGAAAUAGGACGUUUGAUUCUAUUUUGUUGGUUUCUAGGAUCGACGUAAUGAUUAAUAGGGAUAGUUGGGGGCAUUAGUAUUCAAUUGUCAGAGGUGAAAUUCUUGGAUUUAUUGAAGACUAACUACUGCGAAAGCAUUUGCCAAGGAUGUUUUCAUUAAUCAAGAACGAAAGUUAGGGGAUCGAAGACGAUCAGAUACCGUCGUAGUCUUAACCAUAAACUAUGCCGACUAGGGAUCGGAUGAUGUUAUUUUGAUGACUCAUUCGGCGCCUUACGGG